RNAcentral lists this ribosomal RNA (1434 nucleotides) under uncultured organism. RNAcentral describes it as "SSU rRNA". It matches the Rfam family "Bacterial small subunit ribosomal RNA". The record is from RNAcentral.
GCUUAACACAUGCAAGUCGAGGGGCAUCAGGUAGAAAGCUUGCUUUCUUUGCUGGCGACCGGCGCACGGGUGAGUAACACGUAUCCAACCUGCCCUUUACUCGGGGAUAGCCUUUCGAAAGAAAGAUUAAUACCCGAUAGCAUAAUGAUUCCGCAUGGUUUCAUUAUUAAAGGAUUCCGGUAAAGGAUGGGGAUGCGUUCCAUUAGGUUGUUGGUGAGGUAACGGCCCACCAAGCCUUCGAUGGAUAGGGGUUCUGAGAGGAAGGUCCCCCACAUUGGAACUGAGACACGGUCCAAACUCCUACGGGAGGCAGCAGUGAGGAAUAUUGGUCAAUGGGCGCUAGCCUGAACCAGCCAAGUAGCGUGAAGGAUGAAGGCUCUAUGGGUCGUAAACUUCUUUUAUAUAAGAAUAAAGUGCAGUAUGUAUACUGUUUUGUAUGUAUUAUAUGAAUAAGGAUCGGCUAACUCCGUGCCAGCAGCCGCGGUAAUACGGAGGAUCCGAGCGUUAUCCGGAUUUAUUGGGUUUAAAGGGAGCGUAGGUGGACUGGUAAGUCAGUUGUGAAAGUUUGCGGCUCAACCGUAAAAUUGCAGUUGAUACUGUCAGUCUUGAGUACAGUAGAGGUGGGCGGAAUUCGUGGUGUAGCGGUGAAAUGCUUAGAUAUCACGAAGAACUCCGAUUGCGAAGGCAGCUCACUGGACUGCAACUGACACUGAUGCUCGAAAGUGUGGGUAUCAAACAGGAUUAGAUACCCUGGUAGUCCACACAGUAAACGAUGAAUACUCGCUGUUUGCGAUAUACAGUAAGCGGCCAAGCGAAAGCAUUAAGUAUUCCACCUGGGGAGUACGCCGGCAACGGUGAAACUCAAAGGAAUUGACGGGGGCCCGCACAAGCGGAGGAACAUGUAGUUUAAUUCGAUGAUACGCGAGGAACCUUACCCGGGCUUAAAUUGCAGUGGAAUGAUGUGGAAACAUGUCAGUGAGCAAUCACCGCUGUGAAGGUGCUGCAUGGUUGUCGUCAGCUCGUGCCGUGAGGUGUCGGCUUAAGUGCCAUAACGAGCGCAACCCUUAUCUUUAGUUACUAACAGGUUAUGCUGAGGACUCUAGAGAGACUGCCGUCGUAAGAUGUGAGGAAGGUGGGGAUGACGUCAAAUCAGCACGGCCCUUACGUCCGGGGCUACACACGUGUUACAAUGGGGGGUACAGAAGGCAGCUAGCGGGUGACCGUAUGCUAAUCCCAAAAUCCUCUCUCAGUUCGGAUCGAAGUCUGCAACCCGACUUCGUGAAGCUGGAUUCGCUAGUAAUCGCGCAUCAGCCACGGCGCGGUGAAUACGUUCCCGGGCCUUGUACACACCGCCCGUCAAGCCAUGGGAGCCGGGGGUACCUGAAGUACGUAACCGCAAGGAUCGUCCUAGGGUAAAACUGGUGACUGGGGCUA